CCAGUUGGCUGGAUGGCCGCUCCGCAAGCGGGUCAACGUGUUGCGUAACGCGCCUUGCGGGGAGGAAAGUCCGGGCUCCAUGGAAGCACGGUGCCGGAUAACGUCCGGCGGGGGUGACCCCAGGGAAAGUGCCACAGAAAGCAAACCGCCGUUCUGCUGAGCGGUAAGGGUGAAAGGGUGCGGUAAGAGCGCACCGCGUCCGCGGCAACGCGGGCGGCAUGGCAAACCCCACCGGGAGCAAGACCGAAUAGGGAUGACACCGGGCUAUCGCCCAGGGCCCGCUUUCAGGCCCGAUCAUCCGGGUUGGUUGCAUGAGGCGCGCCGCAAGGUGCGUCCCAGAUGAAUGGUCAUCCAUCGCGUUGGUCCUCGGACCGGCGCGGGGACAGAACCCGGCUUACAGGCGAACUGGCGCU
RNAcentral lists this RNase P RNA (413 nucleotides) under Hyphomicrobiales bacterium. RNAcentral describes it as "RNase P RNA component class A". It matches the Rfam family "Bacterial RNase P class A". Rfam says of the family: Ribonuclease P (RNase P) is a ubiquitous endoribonuclease, found in archaea, bacteria and eukarya as well as chloroplasts and mitochondria. Its best characterised activity is the generation of mature 5'-ends of tRNAs by cleaving the 5'-leader elements of precursor-tRNAs. Lineage: Bacteria; Pseudomonadati; Pseudomonadota; Alphaproteobacteria; Hyphomicrobiales. The record is from RNAcentral.